CCAUGCAUGUCUAAGUACAUGCCGUAUUAAGGCGAAACCGCGAAUGGCUCAUUAAAUCAGUUAUGGUUCCUUGGAUCGUACCUUACUACUUGGAUAACUGUGGCAAUUCUAGAGCUAAUACAUGCAGCAGAGCUCCGACCUUCGGGGACGAGCGCUUUUAUUAGACCAAAACCAAUCGGACCUCGCGUCCGUAUCUGGUGGUGACUCUGUAUAACUUUGGGCUGAUCGCACGGGCCUGUCCCGGCGACGUAUCUUUCAAGUGUCUGCCUUAUCAACUUUCGAUGGUAGGUUACGCGCCUACCAUGGUCGUAACGGGUAACGGGGAAUCAGGGUUCGAUUCCGGCGCGCUAAUUCUAGCUCCAAUAGCGUAUAUUAAAGUUGUUGCGGUUAAAAAGCUCGUAGUUGGAUCUCAGUUCCAGACGGGUGGUCCGCCUACCGGUGGUUACUGCCUGUUCUGAACAGCCAGCCGGUUUCUCUUGAUGAUCUUCACCGGUUGUCUUGGGUGACCGGCAAGUUUACUUUGAAAAAAUUAGAGUGCUCAAAGCAGGCGUGACGCCUGAAUAAUGGUGCAUGGAAUAAUGGAAUAGGACCUCGGUUCUAUUUUGUUGGUUUUCGGAACACGAGGUAAUGAUUAAGAGGGACAGACGGGGGCAUUCGUAUUGCGACGCUAGAGGUGAAAUUCUUGGACCGUCGCAAGACGAACUACUGCGAAAGCAUUUGCCAAGAAUGUUUCCAUUAAUCAAGAACGAAAGUUAGAGGUUCGAAGGCGAUCAGAUACCGCCCUAGUUCUAACCAUAAACGAUGCCAGCCAGCGAUCCGGCUGUGUUCCUCAAAUGACACGCCGGGCAGCUUCCGGGAAACCAAAGCUUUUGGGUUCCGGGGGAAGUAUGGUUGCAAAGCUGAAACUUAAAGGAAUUGACGGAGGGGCACCACCAGGAAUGGAGCCUGCGGCUUAAUUUGACUCAACACGGGAAAACUUACCCGGCCCGGACGCAGGAAGGAUUGACAGAUUAAGAGCUCUUUCUUGAUUCUGCGGGGUGUGGUGCAUGGCCGUUCUUAGUUGGUGGAUCGAUUUGUCUGGUUAAUUCCGUUAACGAACGAGACUCUAGCCUACUAAAUAGACGCUCCGAUCAUCUAUGUCGGACGUCCUUCUUAGAGGGACAAGCGGCGUCUAGCCGCACGAGACAGAGCAAUAACAGGUCUGUGAUGCCCUUAGAUGUCCGGGGCCGCACGCGCGCUACAUUGAAGGAAUCAUCGUGUGCUUUCCCUGUCCGACAGGAUUGGGUAACCCGUUGAACCUCCUUCGUGCUGGGGAUAGGGGCUUGUAACUGUUCCCCUUGAACGAGGAAUUCCCAGUAAGCACGAGUCAUCAGCUCGUGUUGAUUACGUCCCUGCCCCUUGUACACACCGCCCGUCGCUACUACCGAUUGAAUAAUUUAGUGAGGUCUUCGGACUGGCGCUCGGAGCGGCCCUCCAGGGUCGCGCCGGUGCAUCGGAAAGAUGACCAAACUUGAUUAUUUAGAGGAAGUAAAAGUCGUAACAAGGUUUCC
RNAcentral lists this ribosomal RNA (1550 nucleotides) under Ambohima maizina. RNAcentral's name for it is "partial 18S ribosomal RNA". It matches the Rfam family "Eukaryotic small subunit ribosomal RNA". The record is from RNAcentral. Lineage: Eukaryota; Metazoa; Arthropoda; Arachnida; Araneae; Phyxelididae.